GCUGGUCCUGAGUGCACCCCUGGCGCCUUACAACACGUGUUUUGGUUGAGGAUCUGAGGGCAGCCAUCUUCAGACCUCACUUGAGGACUUCCUCCUGCUUUUCCCGGGAUGCAGGCCCUGCAGGGCGCAUGCACACUGAGAGAGAUUGCUUCCCUGUGAAAAGCUUACAAUUGAUUAUGGAGGAUUCAGCCGUGAAUAAAAUAGAACUGCCUGGUGGUGCUCAGCUCUGAGUGGGGAGACACGCCACAGCUUGUUCAGUAUCAUUGGUUAGCAGAAUCACCCGCAUCCCAGCCGUGCUGUGGCAGGAAGGGCGCUGGAUGGAAAGUCAGGAGACCUGGGUCUGCUACCAACUUGUUGAUAGAGAUUCUAACCAGCCACCCGGAUCCUCUUGGAUGAGGCCCAGCCAGCCAUAUUUAGCCAGUGUUUAUCGUGUCAAAAGUCCUCUGCCGGAGCCCGUGCUAUAUGUAGCCAGGGAGAGAGAAAAUUUUUUCAAAGAGGAUGUGAUCUGCCGCCAGCUGAACAUAUGUGCUGGGAGGUGCUUCCAGGGACGUGCUUGAACUGGCUUGCAAGAGCUGAUUAUUAACACCACUUGCAAAACCUGUGCCCAGAGUCUUCACGGUGGUGGCAAUUGGCCCUGGUGGGAGUGUGCAUGCCACAGAAAUUAACAAGUGCUACAAAUCAGGGCCUUCCCCCGCUGCCAAAUCCCCCAUCCCCAGAACUUGUAGUUAAACAACUUCCAGCAUACUCUGGGGACAUCUGUUUAUCAAGCAGAUGCAUGAUAAACUUAUAAGGGCUCCUCCCGGCUGUUUGGUCUUUGGACAGCCAAUGCUAAUAAAACAGGAAACAGCCCCCACUUUCGGGGAGCUCCCAGCCUGAUGCAAACCCUGCAUGUUUGCUGUAGUACUUUAUGGUUCUUAACUCUGUCAUGCACAUUAUCUCCUCGAUCCUAACAACCACCUCACUUCAGUGGUGGGCAC
This 977-nucleotide long non-coding RNA is filed under the name Equus asinus (donkey). RNAcentral describes it as "lncRNA (ENSEASG00005027785.1)". The record is from RNAcentral. Lineage: Eukaryota; Metazoa; Chordata; Mammalia; Perissodactyla; Equidae.